ACUGGCAAUAUAAAUAAUGUUGUUCAUCGUUUAUAUUGUUUAUAACAUCGUCAGUUUUUAUAUGCAUUUAAUAUUUUUAAAAAUAGUUCAAAAGCUGUCAAAAUAAAAUGGUGAAUUGAGUUUAAACCAGAAAAGAUAUAAACGUAAUCUUUGGGAUUCAACUUGUAAGGAUGUUCCAAGAACCACUUAGUUGGAGAAGGAAAACUGUGCCGUUCAUUAACAAGUCCUGUGCUUUAUAAUAUAUUAAAAAAUGGAAGGACGUGAAGAAAACAGGUUUGUAAAUGAUGUUGUACAUCAUGCAGAUAGCUCAGAAGAAGAAGCAGGAAUGUUUGACUGGAAAUAUAAACGAUGUUGUACAUAAUGCAGAUAGCUUAGGCAAAAAAGAGAUUGGUGAAAUGGAGAAUGAGACUAACUAGGGUGAAAAAAAAUGAAUAUUAAUAUGUGAAUGGUACUUUGUUUAACAUCUACCUGUUUCUACAGAUACAGUACAGACGCAUUUAUAAAUGGGCUUGAUGUUUUUUUGAAUUAAAUAUGUUGUAUUGA
Non-coding RNA from Hydra vulgaris (swiftwater hydra), 543 nucleotides. Lineage: Eukaryota; Metazoa; Cnidaria; Hydrozoa; Anthoathecata; Hydridae. The record is from RefSeq and is a predicted model, not a curated record.